AGUCGUAACAAGGUUUCCGUAGGUGAACCUGCGGAAGGAUCAUUACCAAUCCAAAGAUUACAUCUUUUCCUGUGAACUAUUGUUUCUUGUUAAUAUUUGGGUGGCUCUAGUCGUAUUAAAUAUAUUGUAAAUAUUUUUAAUACUUUUAUCCACCCAAAUAUUUGAAUUAAUAACACCAAAUUAAAUCUUAACAAAAAUAUAAAUAAAAAUUUUUGUUUUGUUGAUUAAAAAUCUUCAAUACAAAAAAAAAUUAAAUAAAUACAACUUUUAGCGGUGGAUCUCUUGGCUCAU
This 291-nucleotide unclassified non-coding RNA is filed under the name fungal sp. RNAcentral's name for it is "partial internal transcribed spacer region". The stretch from base 1 to 45 matches the Rfam family "Eukaryotic small subunit ribosomal RNA", at positions 1787 to 1831 of the family's 1831-position model. The record is from RNAcentral. Lineage: Eukaryota; Fungi.